RNAcentral lists this long non-coding RNA (403 nucleotides) under Helianthus annuus (common sunflower). RNAcentral's name for it is "hypothetical non coding rna". The record is from RNAcentral. Lineage: Eukaryota; Viridiplantae; Streptophyta; Magnoliopsida; Asterales; Asteraceae.
UGCUCUACCUUUAUCUCUUGAACAACCCUUGCGAUGGCAUCCUAAUCGCUCUUUGAUUUUGACAAUCAUCUGUCCGGUUCGCGUCACAACGAUUACCACCGCACCACUCGUACUCCGCUGUGGCACCAUGCCGCAACACCACCAUUUACCGCCAUGAAACAGUUAAUAGCCGCCGUCCUAUUUAGUGUUACCGUUCACCGCCGCCGCACUGUUUCUUGCUUGGUUGCUGCAAUGCACUUCCGUUAACCGAUCACUGAUACCUUUGUUUUGAAACUUUUCGGCCAUGUUCGACCCCGUAAGGUCGUCUUAUAUAAUUUUCAAGUGAGACGUUAGAAUUCUGCAAAGUUUGUCUUGCGUUCUAAGGUAAAAUGGGAAACUUGGGGAAAUAAGUGACGAGCGUCUU